This 460-nucleotide ribosomal RNA is filed under the name uncultured bacterium. RNAcentral's name for it is "partial 16S ribosomal RNA". It matches the Rfam family "Bacterial small subunit ribosomal RNA", at positions 338 to 795 of the family's 1533-position model. The record is from RNAcentral.
CCUACGGGAGGCAGCAGUGAGGAAUAUUGGUCAAUGGGCGAGAGCCUGAACCAGCCAAGUAGCGUGAAGGAUGACUGCCCUACGGGUGGUAAACUUCUUUUAUAAAGGAAUAAAGUGAGGCACGUGUGCCAUUUUGUGUGUACUUUAUGAAUAAGGAUCGGCUAACUCCGUGCAAGCAGCCGCGGGAAUACGACGGAUCCGAUCUUUAUCCGGAUGUCUUGGGUUUAAGGGGAACGAAGAUGGGUUAUUAAGUAAGUUGUGAAAGGUUGCGGCUCAACCGUAAAAUUGCAAUUGUUACUGGCAGUCUUGAGUACAGUUGAGGUUAGCGGAAUUCGUGGUGUAGCGGUGAAAUGCUUAGAUAUCACGAAGAACUCCGAUUGCGAAGGCAGCUUACUAAACUGCCACUGACAUUGAUGCUCGAAAGUGUGGGUAUCAAACAGGAUUAGAUACCCCGGUAGUC